RNAcentral lists this ribosomal RNA (252 nucleotides) under uncultured bacterium. Its description in RNAcentral is "partial 16S ribosomal RNA". It matches the Rfam family "Bacterial small subunit ribosomal RNA", at positions 524 to 776 of the family's 1533-position model. The record is from RNAcentral.
UACGUAGGGUGCGAGCGUUGUCCGGAAUACUGGGCGUAAAGCGUGCGCAGGCGGUUAUGCAAGACAGAUGUGAAAUCCCCGGGCUCAACCUGGGAACUGCAUUUGUGACUGCAUGGCUAGAGUGCGGCAGAGGGGGAUGGAAUUCCGCGUGUAGCAGUGAAAUGCGUAGAUAUGCGGAGGAACACCGAUGGCGAAGGCAAUCCCCUGGGCCUGCACUGACGCUCAUGCACGAAAGCGUGGGGAGCAAACAGG